CAUGCAAGUCGAACGAAGGCUUCGGCCUUAGUGGCGCACGGGUGCGUAACGCGUGGGAAUCUGCCCUUGGGUUCGGAAUAACAGUGAGAAAUUACUGCUAAUACCGGAUAAUGUCUUCGGACCAAAGAUUUAUUGCCCAAGGAUGAGCCCGCGUAGGAUUAGCUAGUUGGUGUGGUAAAAGCGCACCAAGGCGACGAUCCUUAGCUGGUCUGAGAGGAUGAUCAGCCACACUGGGACUGAGACACGGCCCAGACUCCUACGGGAGGCAGCAGUGGGGAAUAUUGGACAAUGGGCGAAAGCCUGAUCCAGCAAUGCCGCGUGAGUGAUGAAGGCCUUAGGGUUGUAAAGCUCUUUUACCCGGGAUGAUAAUGACAGUACCGGGAGAAUAAGCCCCGGCUAACUCCGUGCCAGCAGCCGCGGUAAUACGGAGGGGGCUAGCGUUAUUCGGAAUUACUGGGCGUAAAGCGCACGUAGGCGGCUUUGUAAGUUAGAGGUGAAAGCCCGGAGCUCAACUCCGGAACUGCCUUUAAGACUGCAUCGCUUGAAUCCAGGAGAGGUGAGUGGAAUUCCGAGUGUAGAGGUGAAAUUCGUAGAUAUUCGGAAGAACACCAGUGGCGAAGGCGGCUCACUGGAC
RNAcentral lists this ribosomal RNA (634 nucleotides) under Sphingomonas sp. Its description in RNAcentral is "bacterial SSU rRNA". It matches the Rfam family "Bacterial small subunit ribosomal RNA", at positions 54 to 734 of the family's 1533-position model. The record is from RNAcentral. Lineage: Bacteria; Pseudomonadati; Pseudomonadota; Alphaproteobacteria; Sphingomonadales; Sphingomonadaceae.